CCUCCUGCAAAAAUCAAUAUAUAGGAGGUCUCACCUGCCCAGUGACAAUUUAAACGGCCGCGGUAUUUUGACCGUGCGAAGGUAGCGCAAUCACUUGUCUCUUAAAUGAAGACCUGUAUGAAUGGUAGAACGAGGGCUUAACUGUCUCCCUUUUUAAGUCAAUGAAAUUGAUCUGCCCGUGCAGAAGCGGACAUAAUAAUACAAGACGAGAAGACCCUUUGGAGCUUAAGACUCCAGAUCAACUAUGUCAAGAACUUACCAAGUUAAACCAAAUAACACCUGAUCCUAGCCUUUAGUUGGGGCGACCGUGGGAGAAAACAAAGCUCCCAUGAGGACUGGACCCACCUCCAGAACCAAGAAAGACAUUUCUAAGUCACAGAACCUCUGACCAUAAUGAUCCGGCCACCACCCGAUCAACGAACCAAGUUACCCUAGGGAUAACAGCGCAAUCCCCUUUCAGAGUCCAUAUCGACAAGGGGGUUUACGACCUCGAUGUUGGAUCAGGACAUCCUAAUGGUGCAGCCGCUAUUAAGGGUUCGUUUGUUCAACGAUUAAAGUC
RNAcentral lists this ribosomal RNA (559 nucleotides) under Bagre aff. marinus INVEMAR-PEC 5336. RNAcentral describes it as "partial 16S ribosomal RNA". It matches the Rfam family "Bacterial large subunit ribosomal RNA", at positions 1819 to 2595 of the family's 2925-position model. Lineage: Eukaryota; Metazoa; Chordata; Actinopteri; Siluriformes; Ariidae. The record is from RNAcentral.